UAAUCAAGACUUUUUUUCCUUUAAGGGAUCAUUGUGAAAACUAACAUGUCUUUUAAGGGAUCAAUAGAUUACUAUAAAUAAACAAAACUAAAAGCACCAUAAGAAAAUUCCUGUAAGAGGCCUAAUAUCACGAAUAUAGUGUAUACAGUGGCAAUUUUAUGUCUUGGAGAAGUUCCAACACAUUCGUAAAAGAAAAGAUGUGUUGUAUUUUUGUCCAACUUUUUUGUGUUUAUAUAACACACCUGUUCGUAAAAAAGAACGGCAAUCUCAUGCAACAUGAGAAGUGGGUGCAACAGUACCACGUGAGCUACUUUAAUUUAUUUUUAAAUCUCAUUCUCACUAGCAUUCACUCACUUCAGUACUCUACUAAUGAAGGAGGAAAUCGUCUUUUACAUAGAAGGUAAUUCUUUGAACUCACUUUUCCCUCUGAGACUGACAUUAA
Molecule: long non-coding RNA, 442 nt
Filed under: Trifolium pratense (red clover)
Lineage: Eukaryota; Viridiplantae; Streptophyta; Magnoliopsida; Fabales; Fabaceae
Description: long non-coding RNA (TPRA_LNC004275)
Source: RNAcentral